This 508-nucleotide ribosomal RNA is filed under the name uncultured bacterium. RNAcentral describes it as "bacterial SSU rRNA". It matches the Rfam family "Bacterial small subunit ribosomal RNA", at positions 29 to 529 of the family's 1533-position model. The record is from RNAcentral.
AAUGAACGCUGGCGGCGCGCCUAAUACAUGCAAGUCGAGCGAGAAGACGUAGCAAUACGUUUGUAAAGCGGCGAACGGGUGAGGAAUACAUGGGUAACCUACCCUCGAGUGGGGAAUAACUAGCCGAAAGGUUAGCUAAUACCGCGUACGCUCCUUGGACUUCGGUUCAGGGAGGAAAGCGAUACCGUGGGUAUCGCGCUCUUGGUUGGGCUCAUGUCCUAUCAGCUUGUUGGUGAGGUAACGGCUCACCAAGGCUUCGACGGGUAGCUGGUCUGAGAGGACGAUCAGCCACACUGGCACUGCGACACGGGCCAGACUCCUACGGGAGGCAGCAGUAAGGAAUAUUGCGCAAUGGGCGAAAAGCCUGACGCAGCGACGCCGCGUGGGGGAUGAAGGUCUUCGGAUUGUAAACCCCUUUCGGUAGGGAAGAUGGAACGAGCAAUCGUUCGGACGGUACCUCCAGAAGCAGCCACGGCUAACUUCGUGCCAGCAGCCGCGGUAACACCGA